RNAcentral lists this ribosomal RNA (245 nucleotides) under uncultured bacterium. Its description in RNAcentral is "partial 16S ribosomal RNA". It matches the Rfam family "Bacterial small subunit ribosomal RNA", at positions 109 to 354 of the family's 1533-position model. The record is from RNAcentral.
AGUAACGCGUGGGCAACCUGCCUUAUACAGGGGGAUAACAGCUGGAAACAGCUGCUAAUACCGCAUAAGCGCACAGCGGCGCAUGACGCAGUGUGAAAAACUGAGGUGGUAUAAGAUGGGCCCGCGUCUGAUUAGCUGGUUGGGAGGGUAACGGCCUACCAAGGCGACGAUCAGUAGCCGGCCUGAGAGGGCGGACGGCCACAUUGGGACUGAGACACGGCCCAGACUCCUACGGAAGGCAGCAG